RNAcentral lists this ribosomal RNA (1343 nucleotides) under uncultured bacterium. RNAcentral describes it as "16S ribosomal RNA". It matches the Rfam family "Bacterial small subunit ribosomal RNA", at positions 28 to 1378 of the family's 1533-position model. The record is from RNAcentral.
GACGAACGCUGGCGGCGUGCUUAACACAUGCAAGUCGAACGGAAAGGCCCUGCUUUUGUGGGGUGCUCGAGUGGCGAACGGGUGAGUAACACGUGAGUAACCUGCCCUUGACUUUGGGAUAACCUCAGGAAACUGGGGCUAAUACCGGAUAGGAGCUCCUGCUGCAUGGUGGGGGUUGGAAAGUUUCGGCGGUUGGGGAUGGACUCGCGGCUUAUCAGCUUGUUGGUGGGGUAGUGGCUUACCAAGGCUUUGACGGGUAGCCGGCCUGAGAGGGUGACCGGCCACAUUGGGACUGAGAUACGGCCCAGACUCCUACGGGAGGCAGCAGUGGGGAAUAUUGCACAAUGGGCGGAAGCCUGAUGCAGCAACGCCGCGUGCGGGAUGACGGCCUUCGGGUUGUAAACCGCUUUCGCCUGUGACGAAGCGUGAGUGACGGUAAUGGGUGAAGAAGCACCGGCUAACUACGUGCCAGCAGCCGCGGUGAUACGUAGGGUGCGAGCGUUGUCCGGAUUUAUUGGGCGUAAAGGGCUCGUAGGUGGUUGAUCGCGUCGGAAGUGUAAUCUUGGGGCUUAACCCUGAGCGUGCUUUCGAUACGGGUUGACUUGAGGAAGGUAGGGGAGAAUGGAAUUCCUGGUGGAGCGGUGGAAUGCGCAGAUAUCAGGAGGAACACCAGUGGCGAAGGCGGUUCUCUGGGCCUUUCCUGACGCUGAGGAGCGAAAGCGUGGGGAGCGAACAGGCUUAGAUACCCUGGUAGUCCACGCUGUAAACGGUGGGUACUAGGUGUGGGGUCCAUUCCACGGGUUCCGUGCCGUAGCUAACGCCUUAAGUACCCCGCCUGGGGAGUACGGCCGCAAGGCUAAAACUCAAAGGAAUUGACGGGGCCCCGCACAAGCGGCGGAGCAUGCGGAUUAAUUCGAUGCAACGCGUAGAACCUUACCUGGGUUUGACAUGGAUCGGGAGUGCUCAGAGAUGGGUGUGCCUCUUUUGGGGUCGGUUCACAGGUGGUGCAUGGCUGUCGUCAGCUCGUGUCGUGAGAUGUUGGGUUAAGUCCCGCAACGAGCGCAACCCUUGUUCACUGUUGCCAGCACGUUAUGGUGGGGACUCAGUGGAGACCGCCGGGGUCAACUCGGAGGAAGGUGGGGAUGACGUCAAGUCAUCAUGCCCCUUAUGUCCAGGGCUUCACGCAUGCUACAAUGGCUGGUACAGAGAGUGGCGAGCCUGUGAGGGUGAGCGAAUCUCGGAAAGCCGGUCUCAGUUCGGAUUGGGGUCUGCAACUCGACCUCACGAAGUCGGAGUCGCUAGUAAUCGCAGAUCAGCAACGCUGCGGUGAAUACGUUCCCGGG